Molecule: transfer RNA, 54 nt
Filed under: Cicadella viridis
Lineage: Eukaryota; Metazoa; Arthropoda; Insecta; Hemiptera; Cicadellidae
Description: tRNA-Asp
Source: RNAcentral
AAAAAUUUAGUUUAUAAAAAAAUAUUAAUUUGUCAAAUUAAAGAUGUUAAAUAA